This is an RNA transcript of Lagopus muta (rock ptarmigan), 10572 nucleotides long. It is a transcript of the gene named meiotic nuclear divisions 1, with no coding region annotated. Lineage: Eukaryota; Metazoa; Chordata; Aves; Galliformes; Phasianidae. The transcript is spliced from 3 exons. The record is from RefSeq and is a predicted model, not a curated record.
UAAAGUGAACUUAGGAGAAGUCUGCACUUUUUAGCUUAAAAUGUGGUGUGCGGAGAUUUGCCUGUGUGUAGCUGCAAUUUUUUUUAAAGCUGUAAGCAUUGCAAUACAGGUACUCUAACCAUUUGUUUUCAUGUUCUGUCAUAUUACAUAAGGUGAGAGCUUUUUUAAUUGGUAUUUAGUCUGCCAACAGCUGGGCAGUUAACAAACAAAACUAACACUGAAACACUCUGGUACAUUAGAAGUAAUAUUAGGACCAUUUUUUCUAUAACAACGCUAAUUCUGUAACUGGGAUCCUAUCGUGCAGGAAGAGCAUUCACUGGCUUUCAUUUGCUUUUAGUCCCAUACUGGCUCAAUAAGGUAUCACUCUACUUCCUUUGUUUUGUCCAUUUAACACAUAACAUUUCAUUAGAUAUGUUUAAUUUUUAUUUAGUCAGUGGUGUAAUAACUUAUGUAUUGAUGUUUAUACUGACUGAAAUGCUGGCUUUUGGUUGAAGUUUUUACUUCAAAUGAAAUACAGGGAAUAAUGAGGAACUUUUAUUACUUAAUGCAGAAUCGAGCACUGAAGUGUACUUAAUAUUCUGAUCCUUAACAUGAAAAAUGAAAAGCAUGCAUGAAAUUUCUUUGAAUUUUCUCUGCUUCAGAUGUAAUGUUUUAUUUAUUAGGCUUUAGAUUGUUACCCAAACACUAUCGCAUAUUCAAUUGCUGUAAUGCCGAAAUGCCAUCGCAGUGAUGAGAAACAGGCACAGACCUUUUUCUGGGAACAUUUUUGACCAAAUCUGAAUCUUUCUCUUUCCUUAUUCUUCCAGCAGAGUCUGCAUCUUUAGAAAUGUGCUGUGAGAAGGCCAGGAACAUAAACGCAAUUGGCAGCACGCCCCAGAAUUGGACAGAUAUUCUUUCUUUAGUGAGACCAUGACGUUUUUUUGUCAGUUACAUUAUCUUUCCCUAAGGAUGUAAUGGUAUGCAGGGGAAUAUGCAAACUUGAGAUUUACUAUGCUGUAAAUCCUCUGCUGUGUGCUCUCCUAAGGACAAAUAACAGGCACACUCGAGCUGCAAAAAUGAAUACAUUUAGGCAGAAAUUGACAACAGAGGGAUUUGUAGUGACAGGUAUUUAAAGUGCUGAGAUAGUCUUGUAGUGAAGCACUGCACUGGAGCAGUUGAGGAGCCUCUCUUUUAAAGGAGUUGCUGUGAGCAUGUUUCUAAGUACUAGGCACAGAGAGACAAAUUACAGCUCGAAUGGUAGGACAUCCUCUAAUAGAUGGCAACAUGUGAACUGAUAUCUAGAAAAGAGAGAAAUAAUUGUAAUCAUUAAUUGCUCCAGGCACGGCCUGCCCUUCUUUAAAGCAUGUGGAAGUUCCAUGUGAGCUUCUGCAAAAGAGAGGUGAGCAUUUAAGGGAACUGGUGCUAGGUGCCUUGUUGGGCUACCUGUAGGCUUCCCAAGGGAUUGUGCAGCAGUGCUCUGAAAAUAAUUUGUUGCUGACCUUCAGUUAAAAAGUUGCUUUGAUGCUUUGUUGUAUGUUUCAACAGUUACUGUUGCACUGUCUAAAGUUGCUGGCAGCAUAAAAAUAAUUAAAUGGAAAUAUCACUUUGAGGGAGUUAAUAUCCUUGUCAAAACUGAAUGGAAUUUCAUGAUAUAUGGAAAAACAAAACAAAACUGGGAGAGAGGUGAGGUUGGGGAAGAGACUUCUCUUGCUCUGGAUUGUGGGGAAGCACAAAGGCAAAAGAAAAAAAAAAAAGAUGCAGGAAAUUGUAGCUUUUAGUCUAAGAAGAUAUAAAGAAUCUCAUUCAAUGGAAGAUAUUCAUCUAGACAUAAGCGCUAGUGCUGUUGUUUCUCAGAAUAACCUUAUAAACCAAGUUGUUUCCUCAGAUUUUUAAAUCCUUUUCACACUGCAUGAGUGAUACGUGAUUUUCCACGAAAUAUACAGUUUCAGUAACUUAAUCCUUGUGAGUAUUUUCAGUUGGAUUAACAUGGGGAUUACCAAAUCUAAAUUAAUUUAUUUUCGUUUUGAGUCAGAAAUCAGAGAUGGCUGUUGUGUUACAUAACAGUACUUUUAAAAGCUGGGUUUGUUGUUGUUGUCAUUUUCUGCACUUGAGUUUUCCCUUUCCUUCCAUAAAUAAUUUCAACCCAUAAGGGAAGCUCUCUGAUAUUCAGUAUAAAAUUUCAUACUAUUAAUUGUCCGUCCUGUAUUUUUGUAUGCCUUGAUUUUAUUGUGAUGCCUUAGAGGUGUGUGUCAUAUUGCCUUCUGAUUUUAUCAGCACACGGAUUUUGUGAUGUGCCUCGUUACUCUUUCCCUCAAAAAAAGCAUUGCAGAAACAAACCUAGUGAUAUUUGUUAGGUUUACAUCCUACAGUGAUAAGCCUCAUUAAAAGACACAUGCACACAUAUUGAUUCCAGUGUCAAAAUGAAAUUUGAUGGUUCAUAGUAAAUAUCUGAAGAAAAUGAAAAUUGAACAUCUGUUUUGUUCCCCGUGUCUUAGAUGGGAAAGUCAUGCUUGACCAUGUAACUAAAUGUAUUAGAAUGCAUAUUCAGAAAGGGCAAACAAGUACUUAAUACUGACUCUGUUUUCUGCUGACUUUGCUGCUUGUCCUUUUUAUACUAGUAACAAAUGUUCUGCCUUAAUUUUCUUGGCUUUCGUAUUAGAGUAUGUAUUUGAACACAGAACUUCAGCAUUUGUAUUUAAAUAAUUAACUACAGUAAAUGACAGCAGAAACAUGAUUGGCCACUAGAGGAAGCUACAUAAUGACCUGGUUUUGUGGAUAUAUUUGGAUAGUUACAUUUUAUUGAUAGCACGUUGUGAAAAUAUGCCCACAUUUGCAAAAUGUAAGUUUUUUUAACAGCCACAGUAGUUCAGUCCUGCAAGCUUGUUUGCCUCUUGGAAAUGCUGUUUCAGCCAACUAAGCAUGAUUUAGCAUUGAGUUACAGAUCUUUCCACAGUAUUACAGUCGCUGGUAGUAAAAACAGACCUUCUGUAACUUUACACUUCUUUGUUGAGCUUGUAAUUCUGCUUCAGUUGGUGCAGGACUGAGCCCUGGUUUCUCAGCUUAAAUGCAGAUUUUUGAAGCUGGAGGGUAUUCUCAUGGGGAAACGGGUGUUGUGGAAAAUAGAGUCCCUGUUUCUCCCAAUGAAAGACUGCAUAACAUAACAUGUAUGUAUGUCUGCAGGACUGGACACACGUAAUGCUGGUACAUUCCCUAAAACUUAUGGCAGAGAACAGAACCAGAGAAAACACAAAGCUUUCAGAAUUUUUUUUAUUCGUCCAGAUUUUUAUAAGACUGACAAUGAAAAGCUCUGCAUAAAGCUCUUCAAGUUUAACCUGUGCAAGUUUCAUUCUUUCUGCCACAAAAAAGAGGUUAAGGAGCUAAAACAAAAUCUGGUAUUUUAUAGAGAGGCAUAUAAAUCUUGUUUUCAGUUGCUGUGCAGUUUAAAACCAGAAACAGCUAAAUACUUCUAGAAUUUAAAACUUGUUCUUUAAUGAAAGGAACAUUAAUUUACACUCUCUCUGAAGUUCUCUAAAGUUAGUUAAUUUUUUCUUAGUUGUUUUUCUUAGUUACAUAAUUCGUUAUUUUUUUCUUCGUAGCUGUGCCUCGGUUUAUUUGUGCAUUUGGACAGGAUGUGGUCUUAGAAAUGUUAUAUACUGACUGCAGUUCAUGUGCUUGGUGGGAUGUGAGUGCUAUUAUUUAUGGGGUUGGCUUUUUGAAGAAAUUCUGGGAAAAUACCUGGAGUUCAAUGAAUACCAUAAAAACAUAAUGAUCUAUGAGGUAUGUCAUCAUAGAAUGGCCUGGGUUGAAAGGAGCACAAUGCUCAUCCAGUUCCAACCCCCUGCUGUGUGCAGGGUCACCAACCAGCAGCCCAGGCUGCCCAGAGCCACAUCCAGCCUGGCCUUGAAUGCCUGCAGGGAUGGGGCAUCCACAGCCUCCUUGGGCAACCUGUUCCAGUGCCUCACCACCCUCUGGGUGAAAAACUGCCUCCUAAUAUCCAACCUAAACCUCCCCUGUCUCAGUUUAAAACCGUUCUCUCUUGUCCUAUCACUAUCCACCCUCACAAACAGCCAUUCCCCCUCCUGUUUAUACGCUCCCUUCAAGCACUGGAAGGCCACAAUGAGGUCUCCCUGCAGCCUUCUCUUCUCCAAGCUCAACAAGCCCAGUUCCCUCAGCCUUUCCUCACAGCAGAGCUGCUCCAGCCCUCUGCUCAUCUCAGUGCCUCCUCUGGCCCCGCUCCCAGAGCUCCACGUCCUUCCUGUGCUGGGGGCCCCAGGCCUGGACGCAGCGCUGCACAUGGGGCCUCACAAGAGCCGAGCAGAGGGGGACGAUCACCUCCCUCUCCUGCUGGCCGCCCCUUUUUCAUGCAGCCCACAACACAGCUGGCCUUCCGGGCUGCAGGCGCACACUGCUGCCUCAUGGCCAGCUUCUCGUCCACCACGACCCCAAGUCCUUCUGCGCAGGGUUGCUCUCAAGGAGAUCUGCCCCCAGUCUGUAUCAAUACCUGGGGUUGCCCCGACCCAAUGCAGCACCCUGCACUUGGCCUCGUUGAACCUCAUUAGGUUCACAUGGCCACUUCUCCAUCCUGCCCAGGUCCCUCUGGAUGCUUCCCUUCCCUGCAAUGCAUCGACUGCACCGCUCAGCUUGGGGCCAUCUGCAAACUUGCUGAGGCUGCACUCGAUGCCAUCAUCUGUCGUUGAUGAAGAUGCUGAAGAGCACCAGUCCCAAGACUGACCCCUGAGGGACACUGCUUGUGACCGGCCUCCACCUGACACAGAACCAUUGAUCACAGCCCUUUGGCCGCAUCCAGCCAACCAGUUCUUAAUCCUUCAAGCAGCCCAUCCUUCAAAUCCACACCUCUCCAAUUUAGAGAGAAGGAUGUGCUGAGAGACCACGUCAAAGGCUUUGCAGAUGUCCAGGUAGAUGACAUCCACUGCCCUUCCCCCAUCCACUGAUGCCUCACUCCAUCAUAGAAGGCCACCAGAUUGGUCAGGCACGAUCUGCCCUUGGUGAAGCCAUGCUGGCUGUCUCGAAUCACCUCUAUCUCAUCUGUGCCUUAGCAUAGCUUCUAGGAGGAUCUGCUCCAUGAUCUUUCCAGGCACAGAGGUGAGGCUCACUGGCCUGUAGUUCCCCGGGUCAUUCUUUCUACCUUUCUCAAAAAUGGGAGUAAUGUUUCCCUUUUUCCAGUCACUGGGGACUUUACCAGACAGCCAUGAUUUUUCAAAUAUGGUGGAGAGCAGCUCUGCAACCACACCAGCCAUCUCUCUCAAAACCCUGGGGUGGAUCAUCUGGCCCCAUGCACUUACACACAUUUAAUUUCAUGAGGAGGACUUGGACUGUUACAGUGGGACAAAAUCCACUCCCCACACCCUCACCUAGAGGCUCAGGGUCCUGGCAGAUACGGGAAGCCUGACCACCCAUGAAGACUGAGGCAAAGCACUCAUUGAGCACCUCAGCUUUUUCUAUGUCUGAGGAAGCCAGCUCCCCAUUACCUUUCAUCAGAGGGUCAACACUCUCCUUGAUCUGUCUCCUUCUGCCUAUGUACCUGUAGAACCCCUUCUUGUUAUCUUUCACAUCUCUCGCCAAGUUCAGCUCCAUCUGUGCCUUGGCUUUCCUAAUCCUAUCUCUAGACACACAGACAACAGCCCUGUAUUCCUUCCAGGCUACACAACCCUGUUUCCACUUCCUGUACAUUGCCCUCAGUUUAAGCUGCAAGUCCCUGCACAGCCACGUUGGUCGCCAGCUUCCCCUGCUCGACUUCUGCUGGGGGAUGGAGAGCCGUUGUGCUCUCAGAAGGGUGCUUUUAAAGAGCUGCCAGCUCUGUUCUGUACACACACCCUUAAGGACAGUUUCAGGGGAUCCCACUCAACACUUCCUUGAGAAGCCAGAAUUUUGCUCUCCUGAAUUCUGGUUAACGAACUCUUGUGAAGAAUUAUCUAAAGAAUUUACAUGCAGAAUGAGAAAAUAGAUAUGGGUUGUAACAGUUCAUCUUAAUAUCCUGAUGCUGAAUGAUGAAAAGGUAAUCUUUUAUUCACAUGCUGGAUUAUGUGGGGUGAGUGGUUUAGGGCGCUUGGUAUGUUUCAGGCGAGCAAAGCUGGAAGUGACAUGUGGGGCUUUUGAUAGAAUCUGGGAAGCUGAAGUUUAGGAGGGUCAUUUGACUUUCAGCAAAGGCCCUGAUUUUCCCUCCAUGUUUCAUAGAGUACCUCUGGAAACACUAAGUUUAGCCUAAAAUUUGGAUUCCAGCUAAGUUUACUCUGCAGUGAAAAAGAAACUGUCCUAGUUGUAUAGGCACAUGCAUAUUUAUGCUUUUAUACCUUAAGCACGUUGUAGCAGGAUUACUAUUCUUUCAGAGCUUGAAUUUAUGCUGACUUGCUUUAAAAUGAAGCUGUAGUUUAGUUGUUUCAGCCAAAAUAAAAAAAAAAAAUCAACCAAACAAAAAAAACCAAAACACCACCAACCAACCCCCCAAAAAACAUAAAACAAAUUUUUUAAAAAAUCAUUUGUGUUUUGUCAGUGGAGUUUUACUUAGAGAUUCAAGAAAAAAAAGCAGUUGGAAGAUUGGAUGUUUAGCUAGCAUGUGCAACAUCCUGCUUAAAUAAACUGGCUGCUCUGGCAAGUUCCCAAUUCUAGAAAUUAAAUUCAAAAGCUCAUAAGAUUUAGUUUUGUUCUGUUUUUCUUUUCUUUUUAAUAAUGUAAUUGCAGGGGGAAAAGUAUGCUGGAUGAGGGGCAGACAGGUGAAAUAUGUGAGAAUUAUUUUAAUGUCUAAGCUAGUAAAUCUUUUAUGGUGAAAGUCAUUGAGCCACUUAGGAAUGGGAGACACUUGAUAAAAUUUGUGAUGUGGAAAAUGGCUGCUUCUGACUACGUUUAUGUUCUUCCUUAAUUUAGAAAUGAAUUGCCAGCAAUCCAUUUGGGCCUGUUUUAAAACCAUGAAGACAACUUCUAAUGGAAGUGAUCUAUAGGUCACUUUUAUUGAAGUUGAAAAGGCUUUUGUGGGCUGAUUAUUUUGCUCAUCUUUUGUGGUGUUGGGUGUACUUGGUUUGUUAUAUGUGGUACUGUUCAUUCAGACUUUUUGGAUAAACUUACGGUGUUACUGAAAUGAAUUUUUUAAAGUAUUGAUUUUCAUUUUCAAGGCUUUCACAUGGCAGAAUGAGGUCAGGAAAGAUAUUAUGGGUUUUUAAUCUGUUGUCUUCCUUAUGAAAUUGAAGGUCUGUCAAAUGGAGUCUUCCUUGGCCUUGCUGAAAGAAAAAAAGAAAACACGAUGCCAGUCUUCCAUGUGUUAUUGUGUGGUAGGGUAUGUUUUCAUUGUAGGACUGUAUAUCACCAAUGAAUAUUCUUCGUGUAGAUACCUCAUUCAGUGGUAUUUAACUGAAGAUAUCUUGCAAGCUGUGUGGUAUCAUUGCAAAAGUGAUACUGGUGCUAUAUUUGAGAGCAUUUCUUUUGUUUCCCUCCUCCUCACUUGAGCAUCUUGCGAGCUGUUUUACUGGAAAGAAUGGCGUAUUUGAGGGAAAAAAACUGGAAAAGAAAACAAUUUAGAAAUAUAUACAGGAACACAGGUUUUAUCCUUGCCAAUGUAAUAGACCUUUUUAGAAUGGGACAAGUAUUUCCUUUGUGUUUUGACUCUGUUUUGCCCUAUGCUGUUGUAAGAAAAGAAGAACACAGUCUAGAAGAAACUGCCAUAGCAUGAAUCCUAGGCUACUUUGUAAUCUAGAUUGCUUGGGGAGGUGAAACUCUCUGACACUAAAACCUUUCAAACAGGCUACAGAUGAACACCUUGGGAAUGGCAAGGUAAGCCUGGACAUGUUUUCAGUCUUGUGCAUAGGGUACAGACCUCUUGAGAUACCUUACAGGCAUUUCUCUGCAGCACAAGAACAAAAAGCUUAUUGCUCUGUGAUGGACCUUUGUGAGAAACACAGUUCAGCAGCGCAGCUGAAGUCGUACUGGUAAAGUGGGGGAUGAGGGGUUGUCCACUAAGAGAAAAGGGGGGGAAAAAAAAAAAAGGAAAAAAAAAAGAAGUGUUGGGAGGCAGCCCUGAGUCAGAAGGCUGGUGUGCUUGGCUUGUUGUGUGUAAGAGCAUUGCUUCCCUCUUUUCUCUUUGUCGGCUAAGAAUAGAUGUAUUUUGGUUACACAACUAUGAGUUCAGUAUGGGCUUUCAGGUAACAUACAGAGAAGAUAAACAGUCUUUUUCUGUGGGUAUGUGAAUGCAGUAAACUUGAGUACAAGAGCAUCUUAAGCAUCUUAUUUUGCAUAGAUGAAUCUUUUGAUAGUGAUUUUGACAAAUUCUGUUGGAUGUUUUUCAAAGAGACACUGUACAUCCUGAUACAAUUUGACAGUGUGACCUUUUCAUAUGGAACAGUGGGAGCUUUUGCUGAUGAGAUGACACUUUUUUCAAACAAAAAAUAUUGCAGACCCUUUAAAAGAUCUCAGAGAUAUGGAGCAGCUUAUUGGUGGCUUUUAUAUGCACUGCUGCGUCUCAGCACAUAUUAAUACUAUUGGACACAUAUGCUUAGGUUUAUUUUCCAACAUAUAAAAUGAAUGUUUUUUCCAUCCUGCCUUAGCAUGUUGUGUUCCAGGCUUUCCAAAAUAGUUGUAGGUAGCUGUCAUAAUAACAAGCACUUUUUUUUCCCUAUAGCUCUGGAAUAUCUUUAGCAACAUGUCAGUAUAGUUCUGCUGAGUGUGUGAUGUUGUCUACAUGAGAAAUAGUGCAUUUGCAUUGACUUGAAUUCAGUUGUUAUGUAUUCUGAAGCGUUGUGACUUGUUGAUUGAUAUCACGGAUGCAAGUGUUAUGUGGCAUGCUGGUGUAUGGGAGAAGAAUAAUGAUUCUUCCUGACUAGUCCUGGAAAUGUUUACACAUAAAAAUAUUGCUUAUAAUAAUAUAUAAAGUUCUCUUGAAAAUUCCAGAGUAGAAACUAGAAGGGAGAAGAAGGCAGCAGUUCUUUCUUUGUUUCCAAGACUACAAGUGACUGUGGGCUACCUCAGGCUCUUGAGAUUUUCCAGUAUAGCUGUUGGUACCUUUACAGCCUGAUUCUUGAAUAUUAUUCAGUGACUGCUUCCAUUGCAUUCCUUUACAUGCAUGACUUAAAAAAAAAAAAAAAAACAAAAAGAAAAGCUUUUAGAAAUAACCUGGAAGUAGGUCUGGCAAAUGCUUGUGGAGUUCUUAUGGUUAUUGCCACAUUUGUGUAACAGUCAUGGAAAUAUCAGAGAUGUGUAGAAGGAGUAACCCAUCCUCCUGGAGCACGCAUAUUGCAUUGAUGAGGCAUGUAGUGGUUUUCUGACCGUGGAAAUUUGUGAGAUUUUAAAGGAACCUCAAGCGGCCAUUCCACUCUGGAACACAAGUAGGAACGUUAACUUCCAACAUCCCAUUCAGGAGAAAAGCUGUAAAUCUGUGUGAAGGAGCAGAAGAGAGGAAGGAGGCAGCUGCGGUUCUGCAUAAUUCUGAGAGUGGCUUGGGGCUUCCAGAGUUGAAUCAGAAGCAGCACAACUUGACCAUGCUGACUCUUAGCCGAUGCAUGCCACCAGCUCAGAUCUGACAAAGGCAUCCUGUGCUGCCAGAUGUCACUCCUGGCCGGGAGCUGUCUGUUUGCCCUGGAUGGUUUUUUGCUUGCUAUUCCACACACUCUUGUCAGGUUGGCUUCUUUGGUCUGCUCCUUCAUCCAUCCCCGUCUGGAUGUCACUUGCCUGCAUUAAAGACCAUGAAGAGCAUGUUUCUUCACUUUCUCUUUAGGUAUUCAGCACUUCUGGAUCUUCCUUUCCAUAACUGGUUUUGUUUGUCCCUGUGUUAAGAAGGGUGCUUAGGAAAAUGGUUCAGUUCCCAAAAUCUAGGCUUCCUGAGUUCCCUGCAGCUCUGCUAGAUACCUGGGUUUGAGGGAGGAAGAGAUUCCUAGGAGGAGUGCUCAAAAUGUUUUGACCCUUACCCUUUCAGUCUUUAUGACUUAUUUCCCGGUGUGUUUUGCUGAUGUAGCAGUCUAGUGCUGCACGAGUCAUAGAAUCAUUUAAAUUAAAAACCAUGCUGGCCGUGCUGCUCCUGGGCCUUGCGCUUCUGUAUGUGAUGUAGUUACUUUCAUUUGGCUCAGGAGAGAAUGUACACUUCCAUUUACUGCUUAGAAAAUGCCAAGAACUGGUCAGCCUAGGACACAAGAGUGUAGCUCAGCCAAGUGAAUGACGUGUAUUCUGCAAGGAAGUGUAUUGAUGUAUUGUCACAUGAAUGGAAGUAAAUAUCUACUUCACCCUUCUGUGUGGGAGGCUGAUGGGUGUAUGAUCCUGUGCAGAACAGGCAGUCAUAAGCAGCAUAGCGUUGAAUUACAUCAGUACUUUGGGUAGGUGGGUGGGGGAUUUCUAUUCUACUCCUCUUUGUGCACUCACACAUACUCAUGACACAACUAUUGAAAGUCCCAACAAGCAACUACAGAAGAUUUUGGUAAUGUGGUCCAAGUGCAGAUUCCUUCAUACCUCUUGGUUCUUGUGAUGGAGUGGGGGACCUCUGGAAGAUGCUGGCCAUAAUGCAGGCCAAACAAGCAAAGUAGCCAAGGAGGCAGCCAACAGAUGGACUGAUAACAUCUUUGCAAUAAAGUCCUGGGCCAAGCGUAAAUUUGGAUUUGA